This 167-nucleotide ribosomal RNA is filed under the name Ilyonectria sp. Its description in RNAcentral is "partial large subunit ribosomal RNA". The record is from RNAcentral. Lineage: Eukaryota; Fungi; Ascomycota; Sordariomycetes; Hypocreales; Nectriaceae.
AAGCGCUCAUGACCAGACUUGGGCUUGGUUGAUCAUCCAGGGUUCUCCCUGGUGCACUCUUCCAGCCCAGGCCAGCAUCAGUUCGCUGUGGGGGAUAAAGGCUUUGGGAAUGUGGCUCCUCCGGGAGUGUUAUAGCCUAUUGCUGCAUACAUUGGAUGAGACUGAGG